Molecule: long non-coding RNA, 420 nt
Filed under: Rhinolophus ferrumequinum (greater horseshoe bat)
Lineage: Eukaryota; Metazoa; Chordata; Mammalia; Chiroptera; Rhinolophidae
Description: lncRNA (ENSRFEG00010022159.1)
Source: RNAcentral
CGGCGCCCGGCGCGACCAUUCGCUGCGGCGCAUCCCGGCAGCCACCGCGGCGACUGGGCGGCGGGUGCCAUGCGCCUGAAGCUCCACAUUCUCAGCUCCCGCCCACCGCGCCCGCCUUCCUCUGCGGUCACGCCUCCGGCGGUGUGCACCUGCCGAGCAGAUGGCAGCACAGAUGGAAAAAUCCCAGAAAACCUCGGAGCCAGCUGGCUUCAGCAGCAGCAAACAGCUAUCAACAGCCUGCCCCCAACUCACUCUUCCUUUUUUCAAAAUGAACACAACCUAAAAGGAUCUAACUGCUCUUCAUCUUCACAAGUAACUUUAUAUGCAUGAUGUCAGUUAACCUCACAACAACCGUCAUGUCACAGAUGAGGAAACUGAUGUCAGUGAGAUUAAUCAACUUCCCCAGGAUCACACAGCCAA